GUGCACGUGAUGUAAACUUAAUCAUGUCUGAAUAUUUGUGAUGCAUUCAAAGGAACCACUGAUGCCA
Molecule: small nucleolar RNA, 67 nt
Organism: Labrus bergylta (ballan wrasse)
Lineage: Eukaryota; Metazoa; Chordata; Actinopteri; Labriformes; Labridae
Gene: SNORD42
Rfam family: Small nucleolar RNA SNORD42
About the family: snoRNA U42 is found in intron 3 of the ribosomal protein L23a (RPL23a) gene in humans and is also present in mice. U42 is a member of the C/D class of snoRNA which contain C (UGAUGA) and D (CUGA) box motifs.
Source: Ensembl